Poeciliopsis prolifica (blackstripe livebearer) is the source of this 342-nucleotide long non-coding RNA. RefSeq lists it as uncharacterized. The transcript has 5 exons. NCBI's taxonomy places the organism in Eukaryota, Metazoa, Chordata, Actinopteri, Cyprinodontiformes, Poeciliidae. The record is from RefSeq and is a predicted model, not a curated record.
UCAGGGUCUUGAAGAGCUGAAGUGCUGCAUUUCCUUGGGGAAAGUCUCUCCUCAGAGUGAUCUCUUUCCAUAGCAAUAACUGCAUUUCCACUGUGUGGAUGAAUUUUCGAAAAAUUGAAGAAUAAACGAAAAGGGAAUUGCCAGUUCACAAGCUGCACUAUGAGAUGAUCGCGUUCUGAUUAACUGUCAGCCAACAAACAAGAUUUGGAGCUAAAUGCAUUCCACACUGCCAGAUGUACUGCAAACACGAAUCUCCUGCACAGGGUGAGCAUCUCCUCAGAAAUGGAGUGGAGUAAAUGGAUUGCUGUUCAGAUCACAUCACCAUGCCACAUUUGUUAUGCG